RNAcentral lists this ribosomal RNA (289 nucleotides) under uncultured bacterium. RNAcentral's name for it is "partial 16S ribosomal RNA". It matches the Rfam family "Bacterial small subunit ribosomal RNA", at positions 773 to 1060 of the family's 1533-position model. The record is from RNAcentral.
GUGGAUUAGAUACCCCAGUAGUCCACGCCCUAAACGAUGCUCACUAGGUGUUGGGGAAGCGAUUCCUUGGUACCGUAGCUAACGCGUGAAGUGAGCCGCCUGGGGAGUACGGCCGCAAGGUUAAAACUCAAAGGAAUUGACGGGGACCCGCACAAGCGGUGGAUGAUGUGGAUUAAUUCGAUGCAACGCGAACAACCUUACCUACCCUUGACAUGUCCGGGAGCCUGCUGAGAGGCGGGUGUGCCUGAAAGGGAACCGGAACACAGGUGCUGCAUGGCCGUCGCCAACU